UACGUAGGGUGCAAGCGUUGUCCGGAAUUAUUGGGCGUAAAGAGCUCGUAGGCGGUCUGUCACGUCGGCUGUGAAAACCCGGGGCUCAACCCCGGGCCUGCAGUCGAUACGGGCAGACUAGAGUGCGGUAGGGGAGACUGGAAUUCCUGGUGUAGCGGUGAAAUGCGCAGAUAUCAGGAGGAACACCGAUGGCGAAGGCAGGUCUCUGGGCCACUACUGACGCUGAGAAGCGAAAGCAUGGGGAGCGAACAGG
Molecule: ribosomal RNA, 253 nt
Filed under: uncultured bacterium
Lineage: Bacteria
Description: partial 16S ribosomal RNA
Rfam family: Bacterial small subunit ribosomal RNA
Source: RNAcentral